CCUGCCCUUUAGUUGGGGACAACAUCCCGAAAGGGGUGCUAAUACCGAAUGUGAUCACUUUCUCGCAUGAGGGAGUGAUGAAAGAUGGCCUCUAUUUAUAAGCUAUCGCUAAAGGAUGGGCCUGCGUCUGAUUAGCUAGUUGGUGGGGUAACGGCCUACCAAGGCGACGAUCAGUAGCCGGUCUGAGAGGAUGAACGGCCACAUUGGGACUGAGACACGGCCCAGACUCCUACGGGAGGCAGCAGUGGGGAAUCUUCCGCAAUGGGCGAAAGCCUGACGGAGCAAUGCCGCGUGAGUGAUGAAGGAAUUCGUUCCGUAAAGCUCUUUUGUUUAUGACGAAUGUGCAGACUGUGAAUAAUGGUUUGUAAUGACGGUAGUAAACGAAUAAGCCACGGCUAACUACGUGCCAGCAGCCGCGGUAAUACGUAGGUGGCAAGCGUUGUCCGGAAUUAUUGGGCGUAAAGAGCAUGUAGGCGGACUUUUAAGUCUGGCGUGAAAAUGCGGGGCUCAACCCCGUAUGGCGUUGGAUACUGGAAGCCUUGAGUGCAGGAGAGGAAAGGGGAAUUCCCAGUGUAGCGGUGAAAUGCGUAGAUAUUGGGAGGAACACCAGUGGCGAAAGGCGCCUUUCUGGACUGUGUCUGACGCUGAAAUGCGAAAGCUAGGGUAGGCAACGGGAUUAAAUACCCCGGUAGUCCUAGCUGUAAACGAUGGGUACUA
This 717-nucleotide ribosomal RNA is filed under the name uncultured bacterium. Its description in RNAcentral is "bacterial SSU rRNA". It matches the Rfam family "Bacterial small subunit ribosomal RNA", at positions 125 to 818 of the family's 1533-position model. The record is from RNAcentral.